RNAcentral lists this ribosomal RNA (388 nucleotides) under uncultured euryarchaeote. RNAcentral's name for it is "bacterial SSU rRNA". It matches the Rfam family "Archaeal small subunit ribosomal RNA", at positions 339 to 727 of the family's 1478-position model. The record is from RNAcentral. Lineage: Archaea; Methanobacteriati; Methanobacteriota.
UCGGGAAAAUUUUGCAAUGCGCGAAAGCGUGACAGAGCAAGCCAACGUGAUUCUCUAUAAUUGAGAAUCUUUUGUGUGCUGUAAAAAGGCAUACGAAUAAGGACUGGGAGAGACGGGUGCCAGCCGCCGCGGUAAUCCCCGCAGUCCAAGUCGCAACCACAUUUGUUGGGUCUAAAACAUCCGUAGCUUGCUUGAUAAGUCUCAUGUGAAAUCCGGCCUCUCAAGGGUCGACGUGCAUGAGAUACUGCCAAGCUAGAGACCGGGAGACGUAACGAGUACGCAUAGAGUACCGGUAAAAUGGGUUGAUCCUAUGCGGACUACCACCAGCGAAGGCACGUUACGAGCACGGAUCUGACAGUGAGGGAUGAAGGCUAGGGGCGCAAAGUGG